AUAUUCACAAACAGACUAGCUUAGAUCUUGAUCUAAUAAAUAUUAUUUUAAGGAUAUUUUUUCUAUCUUUCUGAUGGACAUGAGAUGUUCAUGAAUCUUAAGGUAUUUUUUUGGAAAAGAAGUUCCUUGGUGAAGGAACUGAUACUGUUAAAAGCAAGCUUAAUGAAGCUUGAUAGGUAGAGAAACCAACUCUGACACAAAUCAAUAGAACUAAAGUUGAUUAGAUCAAAUUUGGAGCCCGAUGUAAAGGCAUCUCUGAG
RNAcentral lists this long non-coding RNA (260 nucleotides) under Elaeis guineensis (African oil palm). Its description in RNAcentral is "long non-coding RNA (EGUI_LNC062867)". Lineage: Eukaryota; Viridiplantae; Streptophyta; Magnoliopsida; Arecales; Arecaceae. The record is from RNAcentral.